GCACUUUGGUGACAUAGAUUGCCA
This 24-nucleotide non-coding RNA is filed under the name Arabidopsis thaliana (thale cress). The record is from RNAcentral. Lineage: Eukaryota; Viridiplantae; Streptophyta; Magnoliopsida; Brassicales; Brassicaceae.